Molecule: ribosomal RNA, 253 nt
Filed under: uncultured bacterium
Lineage: Bacteria
Description: partial 16S ribosomal RNA
Rfam family: Bacterial small subunit ribosomal RNA
Source: RNAcentral
UACAGAGGGGGCAAGCGUUGUUCGGAAUUACUGGGCGUAAAGGGCGCGUAGGCGGCCUUCUAAGUCGAACGUGAAAUCCCCGGGCUCAACCCGGGAACUGCGUCCGAUACUGGAAGGCUUGAAUUCGGGAGAGGGAUGCGGAAUUCCAGGUGUAGCGGUGAAAUGCGUAGAUAUCUGGAGGAACACCGGUGGCGAAGGCGGCAUCCUGGACCGGCAUUGACGCUGAGGCGCGAAAGCCAGGGGAGCGAACAGG